GAACCACCUCAGCAGGGGCAUCACCGCUC
Molecule: small RNA, 29 nt
Filed under: Bombyx mori (domestic silkworm)
Lineage: Eukaryota; Metazoa; Arthropoda; Insecta; Lepidoptera; Bombycidae
Description: ovarian small RNA-15129
Source: RNAcentral